GAACGCUGUGAUUAGCCUAACACAUGCAAGUUAAAAUUUUUUAGCGAACGGGUGAGUACAACAUAAAAAUUAACCUAAAUAUUUAGAAGAGUUUAUGUAGAAUUAGGUUGUUGGUAUAUUAAUAGUUUUACCAAGCUUAUGAUUCUUAGCUGUCUUUGAGGAUGAACAGCCACAUUGGAACUGAGACACGGUCCAAACUCUUAUAAGAGGCAGCAGUGGGGAAUUUUAGGCAAUGGGCGAAAGCUUGACCUAGCUAAAUCACGUGUGUGAUGAAGAUUAUUAGUAUUGUAAAGCACUUUAUUGGUUGUUUAAUAAUGAUAAAAACCAAAACAAACCCUGGCUAAUUUCGUGCCAGCAGCCGCGGUAAA
This 368-nucleotide ribosomal RNA is filed under the name uncultured bacterium. RNAcentral describes it as "bacterial SSU rRNA". It matches the Rfam family "Bacterial small subunit ribosomal RNA", at positions 31 to 524 of the family's 1533-position model. The record is from RNAcentral.